GGAUUCCGCACUCUUCUAUUUGAGGAGGUGCGGAAGGGAUGCCGUCCCCUCUGGAGGUGUUCACUGGCCAGCGAGAGGCGUUUGCUCGAGGAAAAUCUUCAUGCUGGUAGCUGAGCCUCCGUGGGUUCUUGAUGGUUAUUAUCUACUCCUCCAAUGUGGUUAAAGAUCCAGCUCUAUUUUUAGAGAUGCUGUUGACAUACCUCGUGGUCUUUGGCUCUUCUUAGGCUCCCAGGAGACAUUUGGCACCUUAGGGCUUUAACAUCUCAGGCACCACUCGCAACUCCGUAACUGCUGUCUGCUACAGGCAGGGACAAGUGCAGAAGCAAGAGAGAGAGGUAACAGCAUCAGUUCAAAGAGAUGCAAAAAGGUAGGAAAUGACACAAGCAGAAGAGCGCUCAACUUGCUGGACUCACGCCUGGUUAUCACUCAAGCUUGUGAUGGCAGCCUCCUGGAUUUCACCAAGCUGAACUCAUUAGCAAACCACUACCACUACCAUUGGUGCUGGAGGGGCAGGCAGACAACCAAGGCCUGAACAAGCAUAUAGAAGUACGUGGAAAUAUCAACUAGUGGUAAACUGCAGUAAGAAGUUCAGAACUGUAGAUCAAAACUAGUCAAUGAGGGAUUGAUUCUGCCAAAUAUUUUCCUUAGCACUGUGGUGUCCAACAUCAGAUUGCACUUUUUUCAUACAGUUUUAAAAACACAUAUAGGUGAUAGGUAGUACCUAUCAUCACAAGCAGGAUUAAACCUUAAUUGCCUGGUGACAGACACUGCUAAAACUAAGAUGAAUGGCUAUCUUAAGUAUUUAAAUGAAGCUUACUAAUAGAUUUUGCUUUCUCUACAUAGCUUUACUUUUCUUUGAAGUUCCAGGCAGCUUCUGAAAACAAUGUCUUGAGCUAUAACACUGAUCCACUGAUCCAAAGUAUAUUUCUUUCUGCCUUGGCAAAUUCCAAACACAUUCUGUAAAAGAACUUCAAAUAAUAGCAUGGAUUUCCAUAGGUACAGUGCCUCAAGUUUUCCAGUGGCACAAAUUCAGGAGUUCACAGAAUCCUAGUCGGAAGGGACCUCUGGAGAUCAUCGAGUUCAUUAACUACUUAACAUGUACAUUUAAAGCCUAUCUGAAUAGUUGAAAAUACUCAAAGGAAAUCAUUAAUACUUGAUGUCUCAGCACAUCUUUGCUAAUGACAAAUUAGAACAAGCCCUGGAAAUUACUUUGGGAAUCUAAAAACACCUGCCUAUCUUAGAUGAUUUGGACAGAAAAGGUUCGUUCUGUAUUAACCAUUACAGAAAUAAUGGCCAAAUCUUGUGUGUAUGUAGAUGCUACAGAUAAAGUAACAGUGGCACAGGUGAUUCUCCUGCUAAUAUUUAGCUUUACUGCAUUCAGAAGUCAGCAAAGCAAAGCUGAAGGCAAAUCCUGCGAGGAGAGGCUGAAGACAAUUGGGUGCCCUGUCUGGAGGAGAGGUGACUUCUCUGCACCCUGCAGCUCCAGAGGGCAGUGCAGGGCUCUGCUCCUGGAAAUGGAGGGCAGGAGGGAGCCGCCCAGAACUGUGCAAGACCAGGGUCAGAUUGGGCACUGGGAAAAUUAACUUACUGUGAGGGUGGUCGGACACUGCAAAGUCUUACCAAUGAGGUGACUGACGCCCCACGCUUCUCAGUGUUCUAACAGCAUUUGGAAAAAGCCCUCAUUACUAUACUAUAGCUUUUGUUUAGCCCUGAAUGUUCAGGCAGUUGGACCUAAUGAUCUCUACAGGUCCCUUCCAACUGAAUCAGUCUGUUCUUUCUAUUAAUUCAUUUUAUUUGGUUCCAACUUCAGUGUGGCUUUCUGAGAGUGUCUGAUACCCUCCUGAAUUGAUGGCCGUAUUGACCUGCUUCUCUGGAAACACAGAUUUCCUUCCAGUUACCUCCUGAAAAGUAAUGAACAUUUUUCUGCUGGAUGUCUUCAGCGUGGUGGCUCCAGGCUGAUGCAGGACAGCAGGUCCCAGUGAGAGAUGGCUGGAGUCUCAGCUGGAGAAAACACUGAUACCAAUACAGCUACCAAAAUUUAUUACCUACCUGGAAUGGAGAGGCAGUGCACUGUGCAGCGUGUGGAACCUUGAAUGCAUUGCACAUUUAUUUAUUUCUAUUCAUGUACUUUCAUAUCCAGUUUGUUCACUACCAACUGCUGAGAAACACCAAAAAUUAAAACAAAUGAAA
This is a long non-coding RNA of Lagopus muta (rock ptarmigan), 2190 nucleotides long. RefSeq lists it as uncharacterized. The transcript has 5 exons. NCBI's taxonomy places the organism in Eukaryota, Metazoa, Chordata, Aves, Galliformes, Phasianidae. The record is from RefSeq and is a predicted model, not a curated record.